This 253-nucleotide ribosomal RNA is filed under the name uncultured bacterium. RNAcentral's name for it is "partial 16S ribosomal RNA". It matches the Rfam family "Bacterial small subunit ribosomal RNA", at positions 524 to 776 of the family's 1533-position model. The record is from RNAcentral.
UACGUAGGGUCCGAGCAUUGUCCGGAAUUACUGGGCGUAAAGAGCUCGUAGGUGGUUUGUCGCGUUGUUCGUGAAAACUCACAGCUUAACUGUGGGCGUGCGGGCGAUACGGGCAGACUUGAGUACUGCAGGGGAGACUGGAAUUCCUGGUGUAGCGGUGGAAUGCGCAGAUAUCAGGAGGAACACCGGUGGCGAAGGCGGGUCUCUGGGCAGUAACUGACGCUGAGGAGCGAAAGCGUGGGGAGCGAACAGG